RNAcentral lists this ribosomal RNA (271 nucleotides) under uncultured bacterium. Its description in RNAcentral is "partial small subunit ribosomal RNA". It matches the Rfam family "Bacterial small subunit ribosomal RNA", at positions 26 to 285 of the family's 1533-position model. The record is from RNAcentral.
AGAAUCAACGCUGGCGGCGUGCCUAACACAUGCAAGUCGAACGCGGUUACCCCGCAAGGGGUAGCUGAGCGGCAAACGGGUGAGUAACGCGUGGGUGACCUACCUUCGAGUGGGGGAUAACGUUUCGAAAGGAACGCUAAUACCGCAUGACAUCCUGCCUUUGGACAGGCGGAGAUCAAAGCCGGGGAUCGUAAGACCUGGCGCUUGAAGAGGGGCCCGCGUCCGAUUAGCUAGUUGGUGGGGUAACGGCUCACCAAGGCGACGAUCGGUA